Molecule: long non-coding RNA, 814 nt
Organism: Mobula hypostoma (lesser devil ray)
Lineage: Eukaryota; Metazoa; Chordata; Chondrichthyes; Myliobatiformes; Myliobatidae
Exons: 3
Source: RefSeq, a predicted model, not a curated record
GAGAUGAAACCGGCACUUCAUUUUCCUACUGUUUUGUAAAUGUUAAAGGAAAGGUUCACUAGACUGGAAAUAGCAAAUGUACUCACAUUCAAAGCAAAAAUGAGCCACAAUGGGAAGAUGCAGACAAAUAAUUUUAACGUCUGAGGUAUGGAAACAUUACAAGCUGUUAAAGACUAUAGCAGGGCAUCGAGAGAGAAGAAAAUCAAGACUGGUCUCAUCGACAUCAGAUCACACAAAACUGGAGUGAAAGCAGAUCACCAUUGAUCCUAAGGGACUGCUUAAGAAAGAUCUUGAGGGAAUGAGGUAGAAGGAAUCCCAUCAAAAGGAUAUGAAGAACAAAGUAAUCUAGCCAAAAGUCAGACUUGCAAUGUGCGAGUUCCCAGUUAAAAUAAUUAAGUAAAUAAUUCAAAGGAAUAACAAAAUGUGGUAUUGAGUGGAAUGGUACCAUGUGUUUGCAACUUGGAAAUAUUUGAUCAUAAAAUUAGCUUUGAACAACUUAUCGGCCUAUUUCUCUCUCCAUUUAAAGAACAGCUAGCUCCCUAUUCCUGGCUGUGCUCAACCACUGAUAAGAUUUUCAUUUGUUUGUUUAUGUAGACUUUUUCAUUAAUUCUAUUGUGUCCUUUAUUUUCCUGUAAAUGCCUGCAAGAACAUGAAUCUUAAGGUAACAUAUAUGUACUUUGAUAAUAAGUUUUCCUUUGACUUGGGUACAUCUAGAUUUGUCUCCUGACCAGCCACCACUGUUUGACCUUGAAAUAAAAAUAAUUCAGAAUUAAUGUGUCCUAAUUUGCACAGCUCCAUUCAUUCUGUAUUUAUC